GCCCACUCACUGAACUAACUCCCUUCCCUCUACUCCCAGAGCCCGCCCGGCAGGACCACCGAGCAAGGCCUUGGAAAACCAGAGAGAUUAGAGCGAAUGGGGAAAUGGAGAGAGAACCUGAAAGAGCCCCAAACUCGAGGACCUAUUGCUCCCCAAGAAUAACAUCUUCCAGAAGAACUAGACAGAAAACUAGGCGUCUGGGAACUCUGAAAUCCUUGGAGGAGUAGCAUCAUCAUGACCCUCUGUGUUCCUUUUGGCAAAGGACUUGCUCCCAUUGUUUGCUUGUUCCAUUGUCUGUCUGUUAAAUAAAUAAAACCCUUUUCAUAUAUCUUUAAA
This 336-nucleotide long non-coding RNA is filed under the name Homo sapiens (human). Its description in RNAcentral is "non-protein coding lnc-MFAP2-53:8". The record is from RNAcentral. Lineage: Eukaryota; Metazoa; Chordata; Mammalia; Primates; Hominidae.